RNAcentral lists this ribosomal RNA (497 nucleotides) under uncultured bacterium. Its description in RNAcentral is "partial 16S ribosomal RNA". It matches the Rfam family "Bacterial small subunit ribosomal RNA", at positions 28 to 507 of the family's 1533-position model. The record is from RNAcentral.
GAUGAACGCUGGCGGCGUGCCUAAUACAUGCAAGUCGAGCGAACAGACGAGGAGCUUGCUCCUCUGACGUUAGCGGCGGACGGGUGAGUAACACGUGGAUAACCUACCUAUAAGACUGGGAUAGCUUCGGGAAACCGGAGCUAAUACCGGAUAAUAUAUUGAACCGCAUGGUUCAAUAGUGAAAGACGGUUUUGCUGUCACUUAUAGAUGGAUCCGCGCCGCAUUAGCUAGUUGGUAAGGUAACGGCUUACCAAGGCAACGAUGCGUAGCCGACCUGAGAGGGUGAUCGGCCACACUGGAACUGAGACACGGUCCAGACUCCUACGGGAGGCAGCAGUAGGGAAUCUUCCGCAAUGGGCGAAAGCCUGACGGAGCAACGCCGCGUGAGUGAUGAAGGUCUUCGGAUCGUAAAACUCUGUUAUUAGGGAAGAGCAAAUGUGUAAGUAACUAUGCACGUCUUGACGGUACCUAAUCAGAAAGCCACGGCUAACUACGUG